GAAAUGCGAUAAGUAGUGUGAAUUGCAGAAUUCAGUGAAUCAUCGAAUCUUUGAACGCACAUUGCGCCCUUUGGUAUUCCUUAGGGCAUGCCUGUUCGAGCGUCAUUUAAACCUUCAAGCUCAGCUUGUGAUGGGUGACUGUCCUCCCCUCGCGGGGGGACUCGCCUCAAAAACAUUGGCGGCCGGUACAUUGGCUUCGAGCGCAGCAGAAACGCGGUCUCGAGCCCGGUGGAUCGGCUCCCAUAAGCCUCUUCUUUUAUUUUGACCUCGGAUCAGGUAGGGAUACCCGCUGAACUUAAGC
RNAcentral lists this unclassified non-coding RNA (301 nucleotides) under plant metagenome. RNAcentral describes it as "partial contains 5.8S ribosomal RNA, internal transcribed spacer 2, and large subunit ribosomal RNA". The stretch from base 1 to 105 matches the Rfam family "5.8S ribosomal RNA", at positions 50 to 154 of the family's 154-position model. The record is from RNAcentral.